GAGAGAUCCCGAAUCUGUUCGCGAUCCCUUCUUGCGCGGCUAGGGCACAGCGGCUUCCCUUCUUCUUCCUCCGGCCGGCGGCUUCUCUUCUCUUACCUUUGCUGCCGUCGGCCGGCCAUCCACAGCCACAACUCCUUCUCCUAGAUCCAAACAGACGACGGCAGCAAGCUUCGACCGCAACGGCAACGUGCAUUCACCUUGCCGGAGGGGUUCUCCGGCAAGAUCCUUUACCUUCCGGUGUUCUUCCUGCAGUUCUUCCUACUGGGGUUCAGGCGGCAGAGGCAGAGAAGCAGCGGCGGUUCAUCCGAAUUCACAGCACCUCCAUUACUUCCGUUCAUCUUCCAUUGAGGGGGUUCUUCGGUGGAAGCUACGGUCAUCAUCCUCGUUGUUGAAGCAAGCACAGCCGGUAAUUUGGUUGAUGUUCAUCGGUUCGUUCAGGAGUUUUGAGUGAAGCUUCUUCAUCCACAGCAGCUCUUCAUUCCUCAUCAGAUUUGAACAGCUUUUGUUUGUUGCAGUUUCUUCACUGAAUUCGUAUUGAUAUGUUGAUUUGUAUGGUUGAUUAUUUGAUGCUUGUACUAAAUUGUUCUCCCAUGUUUUAGUGCACGUACUCAUGCUAUUUUGAUUCAUGCUCGUGAAGUGUUCGACAAAAUGUUUCUUCCAACAGUAGAUUUAAAUUCGUGCACUUUAUUUCACUUAAUGUUUGCUUGUCUUGUCUUUUGCAAUUGCUAUAAGUUUUGUUCUUCGUUUGAAUGCAAUUAGGCUAGGGUAGAUUAGUUUUCUUUAAUGCUCUAGAUUUCAUUCAAUGCUUACUUUAUGUUGUCUUUAAUUUUCUUGUAAUCAUAGUUUAAGUUAGACUAGGUUUUCUUAUUUGCAUCUUCUUUCAUUUACUAGGUUAGGUUCAUUUAAUGUUUUGCUAUUUCAUUCCUUAGAUUAAUUCUGUUAAUGGUGAAAUCAUAGCGUAGAGUGACAAUGCGCUAUGAGAUCACUACUAAUGGAUAAAUAGAAUAUCUUUCAUUAAUUAGGAUUAGAUUUCAUACUUGCUUUGCUCUUUUGUUCCUUAAGUUUAAUUUCAUACUUGUUUUAUUAUUUCAAUUCGUAGUUCAAAAUUCAAAACUCAAACCCCCAGUUUCUUAUCAAAAAUCUAAAAGUCAUAACAAAUCCUGAAGUUAUCAUCCUAUCGUUACAUUCUUUGGGAGACGACCCGAGUCAUUUCUAUACUACUUUAAUGUAGAGGGGUUAGGUAAACUUUAAAUUGUAAUUUGAUAAGCUCCCGUAGCACGACACUCGAGCUUACAUCAAAUAUUGGCGCCGUUGUCGGGGAUCUUGUAGUGGUGUUUGAUAAUUUUAGGAUUACUUUCUUAUUUUUCUACAAAAUUUUGUUAAAAAAAAUUGUCAAAUGCUUUGAUGUUCAUUGAUUCAUGUGUUGAUAUCAUAUAUUCCUGUGUCUUCUAAUAUUGUCUGUUAGUGUUUCAGUGUAAGACCAGGACAAUUCUUUCAGUUCAACAUGGAUCUUUAUUCUCAGCAAUUUGGAAGCUUCAAUGAAUAUCACAAUUUGGAUACUGGGCAAGUGAGACACAUAUGUACUAAUUGUGGCAGUCCAUCGCAUCCAGUUGUUAUAUGUCAUCUCAUUCAAAAGACUGCUAGAUUUCCUAUGGAACCCCAGUAUUUCCAAUAUCAAUAUCAACAGGCAUAUGAUCCAGCUCCUAAUACCUAUAGUCAUGACUGGGGCAAUUAACUCAGUACUUUCAACCCCAGAUUCCAGAGCAGUAUGGAUACUUCCAAUCUUAAUGCUAUCAACCCCAACAAAUUCCUGAGCAGUAUGAGAAAACACAACAACAGGCUAUUGAGCAUCCUCAGUGUUACAAUUCAGAUUGGAUGAACCAUCCAAAUUUUAUGCAUGGGAACGAGCAACAACAAUUGAAUCAAUCUUUUCCAUCAUAUCAGUUGCCACAAGGAUUUCAGGAUGAUUCUAUGCCCACAUGGUCACAUUCAGUCCAACAGACUGAACCAGCUCCUUGGGGGGCAUUUCAAGAGAGCACUGAAGAAGUUCAUGCCCCUAGUCAAUCAAUAUUUCAAGAUUUGAAGGAUGUAAUGUAGCAGAUGCAGCAACAACAAGAGACAUAUACCCAGUCUCAACAAAGAAAUGAAGCAUAACUACAGAAUUGUCAGAUGUAUCUAGAUCAAAUUGCAGCAUCCAUCAGCCAGCGACAAGCCCAAUUAUCUAGUGAGGAGAUGGAUUCUAGAGAAUGUCAUGGCCCUGACCCUGAUUCUACUCCUAUACAGGACUCCUCUAGCCUUUUGUGUGAUGAUGUUGCAAUUUGUGAUUAUUUUAAUUCUUCUAAUAUUGUCGCUGCAGAUAUUGUUGAUGUAGGUGUUGUUGGUGACGUUGAGGAGCUAGCUGAGCCUGAUAAUACAUCUAUUGAUGAAGAAAGUGUAGGGACUUGCAUGGUGGAAGCAAUGUCCCAAGAAUCACCUAUUUUUGUUGCCGAGCACCUGAUGAUAAAAGUGUAAGGACUUGUGCUGUGGAGGCAGAGCCCCAAGAAUCACUUCUUUUUGAUGCACCACCAGAAUCUGAGCCAGAACCAAAGUCUGAGUUAUUAUUUGAUGAAGAGAAAGUCAUAUCCAUUGUUUUAGAACCUCCAGGCCCUUGAAGUGGAUGCUUAAGUUGAACCGUCUUCAACCUCCGGGAAGAACUUCAAAAAGAAUAGGGGGAAGGGAGCGGUCUUUACUUCAAAUGCAAAUAUUCCACUCCCAACUUGGAUUUUGCACCUUAAUCGUUUGCAACCACCGGGAAGGAUCAUUCCACUACCGGCGUGGAUACUACUUCUAAAUCGUCUUCAACCGCCAGGAAUAAAGGGGAGUUCGUUCUUUUCCUUUCCUUUUUUUGUUUUUCUUUAUCUUUACACUUGCAUGUUUGUUUGCUUCUAUACUUUGCUUUCAUACUUUGUUUUCUUGUUUUGCAUUUUGUUUGGUCUUUUUUAUACCUUGCUUGAUUUUGAGUGAUAUCUCUCUAGAUGUCCCUUUAUAAUGCUUUGAGAAUUGAAAAAGACAGUUAAGUUUGACUAUCAAGUUUUGGUUUCCUUGGUAUUGUUGGGUACAUUAAUUGCAUUAGUCAUUUGUUGUGGUGAUGGACUCUAUCUUGUUAGAUUAUGCAUAAUAUUUUGUUAUUCACCUAGUGAGGUUUUUUCCACGCUUAUCCUUAAUCCUCUUGUGUGUGAUAGCACUUGUGAUAUUUGACACUUUAGAACUUGCUUUGAUUCUUUUUGAAAUUAUGGUAACAUAAGCUUGCAUGAAUAUGAUAGAGGCAAAUUUUCUUAUUCAUCUCUUAGUUGUUCCUCUACUUUGUUGUUCUUAUCAGUAAACAUUUCACCUAUUGCUUUCAUGCUUCAUUGUACUUCCCUUGUCAUAUAUUCUCAUUGUCGUUAUAUUUUCACUAUCAUAUCUUUAUCGAUUCAUUCAUUCCCUAGUCCUUUGAUGAGAGCAUUGGGUGAUUGCAUGAAGAGUUACAUUUUCUUUGGCAUAUCUUUAUUGGUUUAUUUUUAGCCCCUAUUGUUGUGAGUUUUAAGAAAUAUCAUGAUUUGUUAUAUUGUCCGAGACGGAUAAGUUUAAGUGUGGGGGAUGCAAAUAUGUAUGGACGAAUGCUUGUUGAAAAAAAAAAUUUCUCUCUAUGUAAAAAAAUUCUCUCUACAUAAAAAAAAAAGUUGAAAAAAAUAAGAGAGAGAGAGAGAAAAAAAAUUCUCAAGCAUUUGUUAUUUUGUUAGUGAUGAACAAGAAGAAAUAGAUCCAUGGAAAGAUUGAUGUAUACUCAUUUUACAUUCUUAUUGAGAGAUUCUCAUGAGUUAGUUGUUAAUACAUACAUGUAUUUUGGAGAUGUAAUAAUGGUUGAUGUAUAUCGCAUUGAGAAUGUGCAAGGAGAGUUGAGUGUUGGAUGUUUGAGUGAGUUUUUUUUUAGCAUAUUAUUUUAUUAUAUUCUUCAUGUUGAUUACCCCAAUGCUCUCAUAUUCUCUUUGAAUUCCUUUGUUGUCUAUCCUUCUUGUUCUAUUGUUUACAUUUGUGGUUUUAUUAUUAUUCAUGACAAGUCCUCUUGAUUUGUGUGUACUUAUGUUUGCAUUAGUGGAGAAGUAGAAAAUAAGCAAGCAUAUGGUAGUGCAAUAUCAUGAGUUGCUUUAGAGAGAGCUCCACUUUCAUGUCUAUUAUUUAUGUGAGCAUGAGUGUAUAUAUUGUCCUUGUCAGACUUUAUCAUGCUUAAUCUAUUCAAGUUGAUUGAAA
Molecule: long non-coding RNA, 4269 nt
Organism: Zingiber officinale
Lineage: Eukaryota; Viridiplantae; Streptophyta; Magnoliopsida; Zingiberales; Zingiberaceae
Exons: 2
Source: RefSeq, a predicted model, not a curated record